Molecule: ribosomal RNA, 127 nt
Filed under: Paenibacillus sp. MMS18-CY102
Lineage: Bacteria; Bacillati; Bacillota; Bacilli; Caryophanales; Paenibacillaceae
Description: partial 16S ribosomal RNA
Rfam family: Bacterial small subunit ribosomal RNA
Source: RNAcentral
ACAACACCCGAAGCCGGUGGGGUAACCGCAAGGAGCCAGCCGUCGAAGGUGGGGUAGAUGAUUGGGGUGAAGUCGUAACAAGGUAGCCGUAUCGGAAGGUGCGGCUGGAUCACCUCCUUUCUAAGGA